UUUCCGUAGGUGAACCUGCGGAAGGAUCAUUCAUAAUAAAGUGUUUUAUGGCACUUUUUAUAAAUCCAUAUCCACCUUGUGUGCAAUGUUAGAUCUCGUCAAUCUUGGCGAGAUUUUUAUACAUCAACUCAUUCUUUAACUAAUUUGUCUGAAAAAUAUUAUGAAUACUUAAUUCAAAAUACAACUUUCAACAACGGAUCUCUUGGCUCUC
This 211-nucleotide unclassified non-coding RNA is filed under the name plant metagenome. Its description in RNAcentral is "partial contains small subunit ribosomal RNA, internal transcribed spacer 1, and 5.8S ribosomal RNA". The record is from RNAcentral.